AGAGUUUGAUCAUGGCUCAGGACGAACGCUGGCGGCGUGCCUAAUACAUGCAAGUCGAGCGAGGUCCAUCCAGUAGCAAUACUGGUGAAGACCUAGCGGCGAACGGGUGAGUAUCACGUGAGAAACCUGCCCCGAAGUCUGGGAUAAGCCGAGGAAACUUGGUCUAAUACCGGAUACCUUCCUUUGAUCGCAUGGUCGUAGGAAGAAAGAUUUAUUGCUUCGGGAGGGUCUCGCGGCCUAUCAGCUAGUUGGCGGGGUAACGGCCCACCAAGGCGUCGACGGGUAGCUGGUCUGAGAGGACGAUCAGCCACACUGGGACUGAGACACGGCCCAGACUCCUACGGGAGGCAGCAGUAGGGAAUCUUGCGCAAUGGGCGAAAGCCUGACGCAGCAACGCCGCGUGCGGGAUGACGGCCUUCGGGUUGUAAACCGCUUUCAGUGGGGACGAAAACAGACGGUACCCACAGAAGAAGCCCCGGCCAACUACGUGCCAGCAGCCGCGGUAACACGUAGGGGGCAAGCGUUGUCCGGAUUUAUUGGGCGUAAAGAGCUCGUAGGCGGCUCAGUAAGUCAGGUGUGAAAACUCCAGGCUCAACCUGGAGACGCCACCUGAUACUGCUGUGGCUAGAGUCCGGUAGGGGAGCAUGGAAUUCCUGGUGUAGCGGUGAAAUGCGCAGAUAUCAGGAGGAACACCAGUGGCGAAGGCGGUCAACUGGCCCGUAACUGACGCUCAUGCACGAAAGCGUGGGGAUCAAACAGGAUUAGAUACCCUAGUAGUCC
This 780-nucleotide ribosomal RNA is filed under the name uncultured bacterium. Its description in RNAcentral is "bacterial SSU rRNA". It matches the Rfam family "Bacterial small subunit ribosomal RNA", at positions 8 to 796 of the family's 1533-position model. The record is from RNAcentral.